RNAcentral lists this ribosomal RNA (32 nucleotides) under Stereocaulon verruculigerum. Its description in RNAcentral is "partial 18S ribosomal RNA". Lineage: Eukaryota; Fungi; Ascomycota; Lecanoromycetes; Lecanorales; Stereocaulaceae. The record is from RNAcentral. RNAcentral also lists the same sequence under 1 other name.
AGGUUUCGUAGUGACCUGCGGAAGGAUCAUUA